GCGACAUUGGUGUAGUGGUUAACAUGGUGUGUCCAUAUGUAAAGGCACUUCCAGGUCUACACACAGACCCAGGUUCGAAUCCUGGAUGUCGCG
RNAcentral lists this transfer RNA (93 nucleotides) under Marasmius sp. AFHP31. RNAcentral's name for it is "tRNA-Met". It matches the Rfam family "tRNA". Rfam says of the family: Transfer RNA (tRNA) molecules are approximately 80 nucleotides in length. Lineage: Eukaryota; Fungi; Basidiomycota; Agaricomycetes; Agaricales; Marasmiaceae. The record is from RNAcentral.